CACCUGUGGUGGGGAGUGGUCCACCCAUCAAUAGAGAUGGUCCGUUUGAAGCUGAAGCACCAGCGCAUGUGUCAAAAAAAAGACAACACAGUGUUUCAGAAGCACUGCAUCGACUGUAGUCAUAGAAAUCAAUAUUAGACCACCUUUGUUUUUUUCAAUUUCUUCUUGCCUGGCACCACUGAAGCGCGUGGAAGCAGGGACCUGACAGCACAACGACACUCCCAAGAUGCCACCAAAGAGGACUGUGUUGAGGAGCUUCCAGUAAUGAACCCUUUUUCGAUACAAGCUUCAGUGCUUCAGAAGGCUUCAGUUGGUCAUCACUUCCUAUCAGCUCAUCAUCCUGCUCCAUAUGAGCCUGGCUCAGACCAGGACAUGACUGUGGACCAUUGAAUGACUCUCAGUUGGUGACCACCCACCUGCUCUGCCAGCCCUCCAGAUCGCCACACAACUGCCAUCCAGCUUGGUUCUGCUGGAUCUUCGUUUCCAAAGCCACAGCUGGCCUGCACCAACUGAUUAUAACAUUCCAGCUGUAAUGCUGUGUCUGCCACGCUUCAUCCACAUUCAAACAAAUGUGGUGUACAUCACCGUAGAGGAUCUGCACAAAGCUGAAAUCAGCUAAGGCUGCUUCUCUCCAUUUACAUGUCCUUGUUCUGAGAAGUUACAGCCCACAGUUACUGACCAUUAGCCAAAGACUAGUAUGGAGUGGUGGGAAGAUCAGUUCUAGGUGUUCUGUUGAGUGUAAGCAGGUGUAGAGGUUUUUGAGUUUAAAUGAAUAAAAUC
This is a long non-coding RNA of Amphiprion ocellaris (clown anemonefish), 780 nucleotides long. The record is from Ensembl. NCBI's taxonomy places the organism in Eukaryota, Metazoa, Chordata, Actinopteri, Pomacentridae.